This is a small nucleolar RNA of Psammomys obesus (fat sand rat), 130 nucleotides long. RefSeq annotates it as small nucleolar RNA SNORA17. The transcript has a single exon. The record is from RefSeq and is a predicted model, not a curated record. Lineage: Eukaryota; Metazoa; Chordata; Mammalia; Rodentia; Muridae.
CCUGUCCCCAGAGGGGACAGGUGCGGCUGCCCUGUCACAGGUGCUUCAGCAGGUGGCAGAGAGGGGUAAGGCCGUGUCCACACUCAGUGUGCUCACCUGUGAACAUCGGAAUGAUCAGUAGCCUGUCAUU